Non-coding RNA from Mycena capillaripes, 93 nucleotides. The record is from the annotation of a GenBank genome assembly. Lineage: Eukaryota; Fungi; Basidiomycota; Agaricomycetes; Agaricales; Mycenaceae.
GGCCAGAUGGUGUAGUGGUUACAUAUCCUUUAAUUGUGCUGUAGUCACCUAUGAUGUUUAUAAGGAAGUCUCUGGUUCGAAUCCAUCUGGUUU